GUGAACGCUGGCGGUGUGCCUAAGACAUGCAAGUCGAACGGGAGCGCAAGCUCUAGUGGCGAACGGGUGAGUAAUAGAUAGGAACGUACUCUGAAGAAGGGGAUAGCCCACCGAAAGGUGGAGUAAUACCCUAUAAUAUCGCAAGAUUAAAGACGCAAGUCACUUCAGAAGCGGCCUAUCUGCUACCAGCUAGUUGGUGGGGUAACGGCCUACCAAGGCGAUGACAGCUAACGGCUCUUAGCGGAGAGUCCGUCACAAUGGGACUGAGACACGGCCCAUACACCUACGGGUGGCAGCAGUUAGGAAUUUUGCGCAAUGGACGAAAGUCUGACGCAGCGACACCGCGUGGAGGAUGACGGCCUUCGGGUUGUAAACUCCUUUUUUCCGGCCAUGAAGGUCGGAGGAAUCAGGAACUACUAACUACGU
RNAcentral lists this ribosomal RNA (426 nucleotides) under uncultured bacterium. RNAcentral's name for it is "bacterial SSU rRNA". It matches the Rfam family "Bacterial small subunit ribosomal RNA", at positions 29 to 506 of the family's 1533-position model. The record is from RNAcentral.